Non-coding RNA from Xyrichtys novacula (pearly razorfish), 3869 nucleotides. NCBI's taxonomy places the organism in Eukaryota, Metazoa, Chordata, Actinopteri, Labriformes, Labridae. The record is from the annotation of a GenBank genome assembly.
UUCAGAGAAGGACAGCAGAAGAAUUAAUUAAUUUCGUUCGAUGGAUGGAUGGAUGGAUGGAUGGAUGGAUGGAUGGAUGGAUGGAUAGAUAGAUAGAUAGAUAGAUAGUCAAGUCAAGUCAAGUUUAUUUGUAUAGCACAUUUCAGCAGCAGGGCAAUUCAAGGUGCUUUACAUGAAACAAGCAGGCAAAACAUUCAACACAAUUUAAAAAGUAAAAACAGCGUAAAAGACAUUUAACAGAUUAAAAGUUACAUUCAAAGCUAAAAUAAGAUUGGAGAUAAAAGAAAACAAAGGUUAGAUUGGAGAGAUAGAAAAAAAAAAAAAAAGAUCAAGACAGGCAGAUGAUGAAGAUGUUGAUUAAAGGCCUCAGGUUUGAUUUAAUGAUAGGCCACAGCAAACAUAUGCGUUUUCAGCUGUGAUUUAAAAGAGCUGAGAGUUUCAGCAGACCUACAGUUUUCAGGGAGUUUGUUCCAGAUAUGAGGAGCAUAAAAACUAAAAGCUGCUUCUCCACGUUUAGUUCUGACUCUGGGGACAGAGAGCAGACCUGCUCCUGAUGAUCUGAGCGGUCUGGAUGGUUCGUAACGUAUCAGCAUAUCAGAAAUGUAUUUUGGUCCUGAUCCAUUCAGUGCUUUAUAAACCAGCAAUAGUAUCUUAAAAUCAAUUCUUUGACAGACAGGAAGCCAGUGUAAAGAUCUGAGAACUGGGGUGAUAUGAUCUACUUUCUUGGUCUUAGUGAGGACUCGAGCAGCAGCAUUCUGAAUCAGUUGGAGCUGUCUGAUGGAUUUUUUGGGGAGACCUGUGAAGACACUGUUACAGUAGUCAAGUCUGCUGAAGAUAAAUGCAUGGACAAGCUUUUCCAAAUCCUGCUGGGUCAUCAGUCCUUUGACCCUUGAUAUAUUCUUCAGGUGAUAGUAGGCUGACUUUGUAAUUGUCUUUAUGUGGCUGUUAAGAUUCAGGUCUGAGUCCAUGACAACACCAAGGUUUCUGGCUUGGUUUGUGCUUUUUAACAUUAUCGAUUGAAGCUGAGCGCAGACUUUUAAUCGCUCGUCUUCUGCUCCAAAUACAAUUACUUCAGUUUUAUCUUUGUUUAGUUGAAGAAAAUUCUGACACAUCCAAUCGUUGAUUUGUUCAAUACACUGACUCAGUGUUUGUAUUGGAUUGUAGUCGCCUGGCGACAUGGUUAUGUAAAUCUGUGUGUCGUCUGCAUAAUUAUGGUAAGAUAUUUUGUUGUUUGCUAUGAUUUGAGUUAGAGGGAGCAUGUAAAUGUUGAACAGGAGUGGCCCCAGAAUGGAGCCUUGGGGAACCCCACAUGUCAUUUUUGUUCGCUCUGAUGUGUAAUUACCUAGAGACACAAAGUAGUCUCUAUCCUUUAAGUAGGAUGCAAACCAGUUUAGUACUGUUCCAGAAAGUCCCACCCAGUUUUCCAGUCGAUCGAGUAGGAUGCUGUGGUCAACCGUGUCGAAAGCGGCACUGAGAUCGAGCAAUACUAGGACUGAAAUUUUGCCAUUGUCUGAGUUUAAGUGGAUGUCGUUAAAGACUUUGAUAAGAGCAGUCUCAGUGCUGUGAUGCGGUCGAAACCCUGACUGGAAAACGUCAAAACAAUUGUUUAGGACUAAGAAGUUGUGAAGCUGUUGGAAGGCUGCUUUUUCAAUGAUUUUGCUUAAAAACGGGAGGUUCGAUAUAGGCCUAUAAUUGUUCAUUACUGAGUUGUCUAGGUUGCUUUUUUUUAGGAGAGGCUUUAUGACAGCAGUUUUCAGGGCCUGUGGAAAGACACCUGACAGAAGUGACAUGUUGACAAUCUGUAGAAGAUCUGAGGCCAUGCAAUUAGAAACUGUUUUAAAGAAACCUGUUGGCAGAAUAUCAAGGCAGCAGGUGGAGGAGUUCAGAUUUAGUAUGAUGUCCUCCAGGGUUUUAAUGUUGAUCGGGUUGAAUUGUGUCAUGCUACUGGGGUUAGUACACAUGGACAACACAUAUCCUGUACCGGAUAUUGAGCUACUGACUGUUUGUCUAAUUUUCUGGAUUUUGUUAUUGAAGAAGGAGGCAAAUUCAUUACAAGCCUUGGCAGACAGAAAUUCAGAGGCUACUGAUACUGGAGGGUUUGUUAGCCUGUCGACUGUGGUAAAUAGGGCGCGUGCAUUAUUUUUGUUUUUGGUGAUGAUGUCUGAGAAGAAGGAUCGUCUAGCAUUUCUUAGUUCUAGGUUAAAGAUACGAAGUCUCUCUUUAUAGAUCUGAUAGUGAACCUGAAGGCUUGUCUUUCGCCAUCUGCGUUCAGCUUUCCGACACUCUCUUUUUUCAGCUCUAACCAGCGCGGCAUUCCUCCAUGGAGAUCUUUUCUUGCCAGAGACUAUUUUCACCUUGGUGGGCGCAAUGGCAUCCAUCACAUUUGUGAUUCUAGAGCAAAGGUCUUCUACAAGCUCAUUGACCGAGAGCCGUGAGAGAGCUGGGAGAGGAGUCAAAGCCUGAUUAAAUAUUUCACUGGUGUUGUCAGUGAUAAGCCGCUUGGUGAUUACCUCUGUCUGAGCAGUGGUGAAUAACAUAGAGAUAGUACUCUCAAAAAACACACAGGAGUGAUCAGAAAUAGCAACAUCAGUAACCAUGAUUUUGGGUAUGUUUAGGCCCUUGGAAAUAAUUAGGUCUAGAGUGUGACCUCUAUUGUGUGUGGGCUCUGUUACAUGUUGGGUCAAACCAUAGUUAUCAAGGAGACAGCACAAUUCUUUGGUGCCUCUGUCCUGGGGGUUGUCAACGUGAAUGUUAAAAUCACCAACAAUCACUACACAGUCAAAGUCAAUACAGAUUAUAGACAGAAAUUCAGUAAAGUCAUCAAAGAAAUUCACACAGUAUUUAGGAGGUCUGUAGAUGUUAAGGAAUAUUGCUCUAGUAGCAGAGUUCAACUGGAAGGCCACAUAUUCAAAGGAAGGAAAAUUCCCGUAGUACAUCUGUUUACAUUGCAUUGAGUCCUUGAAUAGAAUAGCUACUCCACCUCCUUUUCUAUGCUUCCUCGUUUCACUCAUAAAGCUGAAGUUAGGGGGGGCUGACUCAAUAAGUACAGUUGCACUGUUAUCUUGUUCUAACCAGGUUUCAGUUAAAAACAUUAAGUUGAGAUUGUGCUUGAUGAUAAGAUCGUUGAUUAAGAAUGAUUUUCCAGCUAAAGAUCUGACAUUUAAAAGAGCUGAGUGUAGUGUGCUAGAGAAAUUUUCUGUACUGGUUUUCAUGAUGGGCUGACGGGGGAUGGAGACUAAGUUUGAUAAAUUCUUAGUUAGAUACCUUCUGUUUUUAGGCAGAUUAGUAUGUCUAUUACUUAUUAUGACUGGGAUUUAGAUAGAUAGAUAGAUAGAUAGAUAGAUAGAUAGAUAGAUAGAUAGAUAGAUAGAUAGAUAGAUAGAUAGAACUCCUCCCCUUCUCCUUGUAAUCUCUCCUCUUCUAUGAAUUUACAUUCAGGACGUUCUUACCCAUCACACAGACUCUGAUUGAUACGCUGAGUCGCAUUGCCUCUGAGUGUUAUGUACAUAAUAUGUGUGUGUGCAUGUGUGUGUUUUACAGGGACACGUCCUGACUUUCAUGUCAUACAUUAGCAUUAGUGUCGACAGCAGAAUUUCCAUUAGCAUCUUCACAAAUAUUAGCAUCUCCUCUGUGACAUGAGCACCGUGUCCUUCAGACGAGCUGUUAGCUCUCCUGCAUGUCUUCAAGGAGGAGGGGCAUUAGCAUUUAGCAUAAAAACGUAUUUAAGCUCAAUAUAAGGUCUGAGAUUUAAUUUUACCUCCAGUGUUGAUGUCUUUACAACUGGUGUUCUUUAAACCUUUACAGCUGGGCCAUAGUUUUACAUAUUUGGGGUUUUAAAUGCUUGAUAGUUAAGUCCAAAAUUGGUCCAG